UACGGGGGGGGCAAGCGUUGUUCGGAAUUACUGGGCGUAAAGGGCUUGUAGGUGGCCAACUAAGUCAGACGUGAAAUCCCCCGGCUUAACCGGGGAACUGCGUCUGAUACUGGAUGGCUAGAGAUUGGGAGAGGGACGCGGAAUUCCAGGUGUAGCGGUGAAAUGCGUAGAUAUCUGGAGGAACACCGGUGGCGAAGGCGGCAUCCUGGACCAACACUGACACUGAGGAGCGAAAGCCAGGGGAGCAAACGGG
This 253-nucleotide ribosomal RNA is filed under the name uncultured bacterium. RNAcentral describes it as "partial 16S ribosomal RNA". It matches the Rfam family "Bacterial small subunit ribosomal RNA", at positions 524 to 776 of the family's 1533-position model. The record is from RNAcentral.